RNAcentral lists this ribosomal RNA (492 nucleotides) under uncultured bacterium. RNAcentral describes it as "partial 16S ribosomal RNA". It matches the Rfam family "Bacterial small subunit ribosomal RNA", at positions 30 to 507 of the family's 1533-position model. The record is from RNAcentral.
AUUGAACGCUGGCGGCAUGCUUUACACAUGCAAGUCGAACGGUAACAGGCCUUCGGGUGCUGACGAGUGGCGAACGGGUGAGUAAUGCAUCGGAACGUACCCAGAGGUGGGGGAUAACGCAGCGAAAGCUGUGCUAAUACCGCCUGUGAUCUGAGGAUGAAAGCGGGGGACCGCGCAGCAAUGUUUGGCCUCGCGCCUUUGUAGCGGCCGAUGUCGGAUUAGCUAGUUGGUGGGGUAAAGGCCUACCAAGGCGACGAUCCGUAGCUGGUCUGAGAGGACGACCAGCCACACUGGGACUGAGACACGGCCCAGACUCCUACGGGAGGCAGCAGUGGGGAAUUUUGGACAAUGGGCGCAAGCCUGAUCCAGCAAUGCCGCGUGCGGGAAGAAGGCCUUCGGGUUGUAAACCGCUUUUGGCAGGAACGAAACGGUGUCCGCUAAUACCGGGCGCUAAUGACGGUACCUGCAGAAUAAGCACCGGCUAACUACGUG